GGACGAUUAGCUCAGUUGGUUAGAGCGCCUCGUUUACACCGAGGAGGUCGGAGGUUCGAGUCCUCCAUUGUCCACCA
RNAcentral lists this transfer RNA (77 nucleotides) under Candidatus Levybacteria bacterium RIFCSPLOWO2_01_FULL_42_15. RNAcentral's name for it is "tRNA-Val". It matches the Rfam family "tRNA". From Rfam's summary of the family: Transfer RNA (tRNA) molecules are approximately 80 nucleotides in length. Their secondary structure includes four short double-helical elements and three loops (D, anti-codon, and T loops). Further hydrogen bonds mediate the characteristic L-shaped molecular structure. tRNAs have two regions of fundamental functional importance: the anti-codon, which is responsible for specific mRNA codon recognition, and the 3' end, to which the tRNAs corresponding amino acid is attached (by aminoacyl-tRNA synthetases). tRNAs cope with the degeneracy of the genetic code in two manners: having more than one tRNA (with a specific anti-codon) for a particular amino acid; and 'wobble' base-pairing, i.e. permitting non-standard base-pairing at the 3rd anti-codon position. The record is from RNAcentral. Lineage: Bacteria; Candidatus Levyibacteriota.